Molecule: ribosomal RNA, 482 nt
Filed under: uncultured bacterium
Lineage: Bacteria
Description: partial 16S ribosomal RNA
Rfam family: Bacterial small subunit ribosomal RNA
Source: RNAcentral
AUUGAACGCUGGCGGCAUGCUUUACACAUGCAAGUCGAACGGCAGCGCGGGCUUCGGCCUGGCGGCGAGUGGCGAACGGGUGAGUAAUGCAUCGGAACGUGCCCAGUAGUGGGGGAUAGCCCGGCGAAAGCCGGAUUAAUACCGCAUACGACCUGAGGGUGAAAGCGGGGGACCGAAAGGCCUCGCGCUAUUGGAGCGGCCGAUGUCGGAUUAGCUAGUUGGUGGGGUAAAGGCUUACCAAGGCGACGAUCCGUAGCUGGUCUGAGAGGACGACCAGCCACACUGGGACUGAGACACGGCCCAGACUCCUACGGGAGGCAGCAGUGGGGAAUUUUGGACAAUGGGGGCAACCCUGAUCCAGCCAUGCCGCGUGCGGGAAGAAGGCCUUCGGGUUGUAAACCGCUUUUGUUCGGGAAGAAAUCCUCUGGGCUAAUACCCCGGGGGAUGACGGUACCGGAAGAAUAAGCACCGGCUAACUACGU